RNAcentral lists this unclassified non-coding RNA (707 nucleotides) under Patiria miniata (bat star). RNAcentral describes it as "uncharacterized LOC119743042, transcript variant X4". The record is from RNAcentral. Lineage: Eukaryota; Metazoa; Echinodermata; Asteroidea; Valvatida; Asterinidae.
CUUCACCAAGGUAAUGAAAGUCGAAGGAGCGUCAAUAGAGCUAGAGAGGGGCUAUGUGCAAAUAUUAUGUUGGACAUUUUACAAAUCCCUGGGAGCAUCAAACUAGGCCUAUAUCUAUACUAAUAAAAAAGUAAUAAUAUAGCAGUGUUGAACCCCACCGUACAGGAGCGACACAAAAUAUUGAAUUCUACUUCGAAUGCUGGAGGGAACUAUAUGCUUAAAUGUUUCCAGUGACGGGUGCAUAUGAUGUCAACCAGAUCUUCACCACAUACACUGACCCAGCACCCAACAGUACCAGCCUGGUAACACACCUCAUAGUCCCCCAGUCACAGCAGCCAUCGGAGACAGACACAUCAUCCCCGGGGCUAUGAGCAGACUGAUGGGCAGCAGCCGCAGAUCGAGUACCAGUAUGCCUGCAUCAAUGAUCCGAGUCAGAGCACUGCCAAUGGGGAAGUUGUCCUUAUUGAAAUACCAGAUGAAGGAAGCAAAGAGGAUUUGGAGGACGAGACUUGCUACACAGAGCACAACUUGUCGCUGCUGCUGCAGGAGAAGGAAAGUCUGGAGAAGACUCUUGAGGAGGAGCGGACCACGUGGGCCCAGACAGAGCACAGAAUGAAAGGUUGAGUAUUUGUCCAACACAAACAUGUCACUCAAGCAGCAGCUGUCCAUGAUGCACACGUCCAGUUUGAAACGUCUGACCAACGACA